Long non-coding RNA from Phasianus colchicus (ring-necked pheasant), 1469 nucleotides. RefSeq lists it as uncharacterized. The record is from RefSeq and is a predicted model, not a curated record. Lineage: Eukaryota; Metazoa; Chordata; Aves; Galliformes; Phasianidae.
CUCCCCCUCCCGCCCGCCGCCGGCCCGGCAGCUCUCCCAACGUGGUCCCGCCGAGCUCCUCGGCCCCGAGCGCCGCCACCGCCGCCGAACGACCCGCGCCCCGCCGCCGAUGGAGCGCAACUCGCACCGCACUUCCCCCCGUCCCCUCCCUUCCCUCCCAUGCGGCCGCACGAGGCGCGAGGCGCGGGGGCGGCGCUGACAGGGCCGGGGCGCGCCUCCUCAGCGCAGGGUGCGGUGGGAUCUCGUCGCCCUGGGCAGUUCUUCGGUGCAAACCAGUACUAAAAGCCGCCUGCGAGCUGAAGUUCUUUUGAGAAGCGCAGAAAGCCAAUCGCUACCCGAGGGGGAUAGGAGCUGAGGGCACUCAAAUGGUCACAGCCUGGAUCUCGCUCACAAGGAACCGGUUUAAACACCGCAAAAUCCACGUCCUGCUCUGGUGCAGGGACAGGGCUUCUCUCACUGUUCCUUGCUACGGAGCAGGAGUGGAUGUCCUCUCACAAGGGCCGUGUUCACCCCAGGCCGUGCUGUGCUCCUGCUGCUCUUCUGGAACGCCUCCUAGGUUACUCUGAAGAGCAGAAACCAAACCAGGCAUACUUGGACCUCCUGAGCCUUAUCAAUUGAAGGGAACUGCACAAUCCUCUUGAAUGCUGUGCAAGGGACAGUGGAAGGUCAGAGUGCAAAGAGCAGGGCUUCUCAUGCCUUCCUGCAAGCAAAUUCUUCUCAGUUAUCCCAGCCUUACUGUAUCAUGGAAUGUAUGACCUCCUUUUCAGGCACUACACGCUGUGGCAUUCGUGCCCCACAACUUCAUCCACCUUUCAUCAGGACAAUUAUUGCUUAGGACAACAACCCCAAACCACCAAAAAACAAUCUCACAGUUACAAAUGUGAUGUUAACUUACUUCUGCUCCAGUUGAAAUAUUGCCUGAGAACAAGUUAUAAAAGCAGGAAAGAGCAGAACUUGCAUAAGAACAAAGACGGAUCAAUGUUUUUAUGACAAUAUGAAGCAGUUUGUAAUUUUCUAAGUUGCUCGCCUAUAGGGUGUUUGAAUUAAGUCAGACGAACAUUUUAUUUUAUAUUGUUUUAAGCAGAGAAAUAGAGAACAGGCUGACUAAUGUUUCAAUACCAAUAGCAUACAUCAAGCAUAAUUAUGAAAAACUCAGUGCAGGUGGUAAUUUUUUAGUCAACUGGACCUUUAUUUCUAAUACACCACAGCUCGUGCUGAAUAAACAUUUUCCUGAUACUAAAGAAACGGAAUACCUUGUUCUUCAAUUUGCCAAAAAGGGACAUUUUUCAUUUGAAUCUUCAUGCAUCGACACAGAACCACAAAACAGUAAUGAUCAGAGUUCAACUCCCCAGCUAAAGCAAGGUCCCUGCAGUAGGUUAAUACUUAGAGUAAGUUAAACACUCAAGAAAUUUGAGAAAACCACUUUUGCAGCCCCAUACUCACUUACUCCUGAUAUAGUCACUAGAGCA